UACGUAGGGGGCAAGCGUUGUUCGGAAUUACUGGGCGUAAAGGGCGCGUAGGCGGCCUGUUAAGUCGGACGUGAAAUCCCUCGGCUCAACCGGGGAACUGCGUCCGAUACUGGAUGGCUUGAAUCCGGGAGAGGGAUGCAGAAUUCCAGGUGUAGCGGUGAAAUGCGUAGAUAUCUGGAGGAAUACCGGUGGCGAAGGCGGCAUCCUGGACCGGCAUUGACGCUGAGGAGCGAAAGCCAGGGGAGCAAACGGG
This 253-nucleotide ribosomal RNA is filed under the name uncultured bacterium. Its description in RNAcentral is "partial 16S ribosomal RNA". It matches the Rfam family "Bacterial small subunit ribosomal RNA", at positions 524 to 776 of the family's 1533-position model. The record is from RNAcentral.